This 433-nucleotide ribosomal RNA is filed under the name uncultured bacterium. Its description in RNAcentral is "partial 16S ribosomal RNA". It matches the Rfam family "Bacterial small subunit ribosomal RNA", at positions 29 to 507 of the family's 1533-position model. The record is from RNAcentral.
AACGAACGCUGGCGGCAUGCCUAACACAUGCAAGUCGAACGAGACCUUCGGGUCUUGUGGCGCACGGCUGCGUAACGCGUGGGAACCUUCCCUUAUGUUCGGAAUACCUCCCCGACAGGGGUGCUAAUACCGGAUAAUGUCUUCGGCCCAAAGAUUUAUCGCCCUUGGAGGGGCCCUCGUUGGAUUAGCUAGUUGGUAGGGUAAAAGCAUACCAAGGCGAGGAUCCAUAGCUGGUCUGAGAGGAUGAUCAGCCACACUGGGACUGGGACACGGCCCAGACUCCUACGGGAGGCAGCAGUGGGGAAUAUUGGAAAAUGGGCGAAAGGCUGAUGCAGCAAUGCCGCGUGAGUGAUGAAGGCCUUAGGGUUGUAAAGCUCUUUUACCCGGGAUGAUAAUGACAGUACCGGGAGAAUAAGCUCCGGCUAACUCCGUG